This 214-nucleotide long non-coding RNA is filed under the name Ananas comosus (pineapple). RNAcentral describes it as "long non-coding RNA (ACOM_LNC032521)". The record is from RNAcentral. Lineage: Eukaryota; Viridiplantae; Streptophyta; Magnoliopsida; Poales; Bromeliaceae.
UAGGACCUUCUGCAUCACCAGAUCCUUCUUAUCCUUCCUAGACUCCACUUUUUCUUCGGAGUCAUUCAAAUCUUCUCCCGAACAGUCGUUCGGAUCAUUUUCUGCUUUAGGGAGAUCUUCCCAUUCUUCAAGGAACGUCAUAAUUAAACUCCUUCCAUUCCCCAUUCAACUUCUUCUCUUAAAUAAUUGCCUCCCAGUCGCAACGAGUCAUCUC